ACGCCGCGUGAGUGACGAAGGUUUUCGGAUCGUAAAACUCUGUUGUGAGGGAAGAACAAGUACCAACUAACUACUGGUACCGUGACGGUACCUCACCAGAAAGCCACGGCUAACUACGUGCCAGCAGCCGCGGUAAUACGUAGGUGGCAAGCGUUGUCCGGAAUUAUUGGGCGUAAAGCGCGCGCAGGCGGUCCUUUAAGUCUGAUGUGAAAGCCCACGGCUCAACCGUGGAGGGUCAUUGGAAACUGGAGGACUUGAGUGCAGAAGAGGAAAGUGGAAUUCCACGUGUAGCGGUGAAAUGCGUAGAGAUGUGGAGGAACACCAGUGGCGAAGGCGACUUUCUGGUCUGUAACUGACGCUGAGGCGCGAAAGCGUGGGGAGCAAACAGGAUUAGAUACCCUGGUAGUCCACGCCGUAAACGAUGAGUGCUAAGUGUUAGGGGGUUUCCGCCCCUUUAGUGCUGCAGCUAACGCAUUAAGCACUCCGCCUGGGGAGUACGGCCGCAAGGCUGAAACUCAAAGGAAUU
RNAcentral lists this ribosomal RNA (526 nucleotides) under Planococcus donghaensis. RNAcentral describes it as "bacterial SSU rRNA". It matches the Rfam family "Bacterial small subunit ribosomal RNA", at positions 394 to 911 of the family's 1533-position model. The record is from RNAcentral. Lineage: Bacteria; Bacillati; Bacillota; Bacilli; Caryophanales; Caryophanaceae.